RNAcentral lists this ribosomal RNA (338 nucleotides) under uncultured Cyanobium sp. RNAcentral's name for it is "bacterial SSU rRNA". It matches the Rfam family "Bacterial small subunit ribosomal RNA", at positions 427 to 780 of the family's 1533-position model. The record is from RNAcentral. Lineage: Bacteria; Bacillati; Cyanobacteriota; Cyanophyceae; Synechococcales; Prochlorococcaceae.
AAACCUCUUUUAUCAAGGAAGAAGAUCUGACGGUACUUGAGGAAUAAGCCACGGCUAAUUCCGUGCCAGCAGCCGCGGUAAUACGGGAGUGGCAAGCGUUAUCCGGAAUUAUUGGGCGUAAAGCGUCCGCAGGCGGUUUUGAAAGUCUGUUGUUAAAGCGUGGAGCUUAACUCCAUUUCAGCAAUGGAAACUACAAGACUUGAGUGUGGUAGGGGCAGAGGGAAUUCCCGGUGUAGCGGUGAAAUGCGUAGAUAUCGGGAAGAACACCAGUGGCGAAGGCGCUCUGCUGGGCCAUAACUGACGCUCAUGGACGAAAGCCAGGGGAGCGAAAGGGAUUA